Small nuclear RNA from Artibeus jamaicensis (Jamaican fruit-eating bat), 109 nucleotides. NCBI's taxonomy places the organism in Eukaryota, Metazoa, Chordata, Mammalia, Chiroptera, Phyllostomidae. The record is from RefSeq and is a predicted model, not a curated record.
UUGCUUACUUCAUUUAGCAGCACAUACACUAAAAUUAGAAUGAUACAGAGAUUAGCAUGGUCCCUGAACAAGGAGCGAAAAAAAAAUCAAACACUGACUCUGCCUUCUA